RNAcentral lists this ribosomal RNA (456 nucleotides) under uncultured bacterium. Its description in RNAcentral is "bacterial SSU rRNA". It matches the Rfam family "Bacterial small subunit ribosomal RNA", at positions 28 to 524 of the family's 1533-position model. The record is from RNAcentral.
GACGAACGCUGGCGGUGUGCUUCACACAUGCAAGUCGAACGAGGUAGCAAUACCUAGUGGCGGACGGGUGAGUAACGCGUGGGAAUCUGCCUUUAGAUGGGGGAUAACGGGUCGAAAGACUCGCUAAUACCGCAUAUGACGAAAGUUGAAAGGAGUAAUCCGUCUAAAGAUGAGCACGCGUCCGAUUAGCUAGUUGGUAGAGUAAAAGCCUACCAAGGCGACGAUCGGUAGCUGGUCUGAGAGGAUGAUCAGCCACAAUGGGAACUAGAGACACGGCCCAUACUCCUACGGAGGCAGCAGUGGGAAUUUUACGCAAUGGGCGAAAGCCUGACGUAGCGACACCGCGUGAGCGAAGAAGCCCCUUGGGGUGUAAAAGGCUCUGUCAGCUGGAACGAAAAAAAUGACGGUACCAGCAGAGGAAGCAUCGGCUAACUACGUGCCAGCAGCCGCGGUAAU